RNAcentral lists this small RNA (659 nucleotides) under Pongo abelii (Sumatran orangutan). Its description in RNAcentral is "retained intron". Lineage: Eukaryota; Metazoa; Chordata; Mammalia; Primates; Hominidae. The record is from RNAcentral.
CUUUUCUCUCAGCCUUUCCCCAGCCUUAGUCUUUUCUGUCCCUCUGUCCUAUCUAUCCCAGGACCCCUGGCUUCCCUCAUCAUCUGUCUGUGGCUAUCUGUCCCACAGGGCAGAACUGUAGGACUGAGGAUCCAUUAUUGUCCUGGGCUGACUUCACUAAGGUAACUCCCUGAAUCCUGUGGAGCUAGAUCUAGCCCACAUUCCAAAUACUGGCCUUCCCAUGUCCCUCCUUCCCUACACCAGGGGCAACCCCUCAGCUUUUUCUACCUUUCCAUUCCUCCUCCAGCGAGAGAGCCCUCCUGGCAAGUUACCAUUCUGGACAUGGCUGGACAAAAUUCUGGAGUUGGUACAUGACCACCUGAAGGAUCUCUGGAAUGAUGGACGCAUCAUGGGCUUUGUGAGUCGGAGCCAGGAGCGCCGGCUGCUGAAGAAGACCAUCUCUGGCACCUUUCUACUGCGCUUCAGUGAAUCGUCAGAAGGGGGCAUUACCUGCUCCUGGGUGGAGCACCAGGAUGAUGGUCAGCUGCUCUGCCCUGCCAUUCCCACAGCCUCUCCUUUCUGCCUGGCUCCCCUCUUGCCCCUCUGCCUGCCCUUGGCUUCCCUGGCUCUGUCCUGAAUCCUUCAGCUGGUUUGGGACUGGGCAGCCAGAGCAGAGAGCU